RNAcentral lists this transfer RNA (70 nucleotides) under Dipodomys ordii (Ord's kangaroo rat). It matches the Rfam family "tRNA". Rfam says of the family: Transfer RNA (tRNA) molecules are approximately 80 nucleotides in length. Their secondary structure includes four short double-helical elements and three loops (D, anti-codon, and T loops). Lineage: Eukaryota; Metazoa; Chordata; Mammalia; Rodentia; Heteromyidae. The record is from Rfam by way of RNAcentral.
GGGAAUAUGGCUUAGUGGUAGAGUACUUGCCUAGCAUACAUGAAGCCCUGGGUUCGAUUCCUCAGUACCA